Molecule: long non-coding RNA, 3351 nt
Organism: Dermochelys coriacea (leatherback sea turtle)
Lineage: Eukaryota; Metazoa; Chordata; Testudines; Dermochelyidae
Exons: 3
Source: RefSeq, a predicted model, not a curated record
AAACAAGAAGAGAGGUAGUGAAUUGCCUACAGUCAAAGUGGCAGAGCCGGGCCUGGAACCCCACUCUUCCUGUCAACAGGAAUAUGCAGCCUCACCAGAGGGAGCCGGCACUAGCAGACACCCAGAAUGUUACAGCAGAAGAGCACAGCUGCCUUCCUUCAAUGUAGAGUGUGAAAGUGAAAAGACCUGAAGCACUUUAAAGUGGGGUGGACUCUGAUUACUUAAUGCAAUGUCAUAUAUGCAGUCACUGCAGUGCUGCUUAAAAGGAUGGAGACAUUAGUCAAUCAAUGGCUCCAGUGAUCUCAAAAACACGGAUGAGUUUAUGCUAUUAUUAAAACCAUCCCAGGGUUGGUAAUGCCUUUGCUAAUUUAGUAUUGUUUCCAAUCCAGCCCUGGCCACAGUUUGAAGGGAAGUGUGUUCUGCUGGACUGGUUGAGAAGGUAUGAGGCCUACAGUGAUGUGUAGGCCUAAUAGAGUUUUCUCCCAAGCAGGAAAAUAAGGUGAGUGGGCAAGCGGACAUUGUUCUGGAGCUGCUAGCACUUCAUUGCUCUCACAGCUGUACUACGUUCCAUGCUGGCAUCAUGUACAUUUUAUCCUUGAAUGUCAACUGCAAGAAACAAGACCCCUUUGUUCAUCAAAUCAGCUAAGGAAGGCUCACUUCUUACUAACUCAGUUUAGACCAGUGUGUUAAAAAGAAAAUCCCAGUUGCAUUUCUGUAAAGAUCAAAGUGAACUUAAGUAAUACAGUCACUCCCCUGGGAGGGAGCAAACCAGAACAGUAGGAUGAUGGGGAGGGGGAACAGGAUGUGCAUUGAAUCUAAAAAUCCUUCUAUAACUGCAGUUGCUGGAUAGAAACAAAGCUUUAUAACAUCAGAAAUGUGCCAUAAAUGGAAAAAAUAAUUAGUAUUUGCAACAUGCCUAAUGAUGAACAUUAUAUGCAUGUAAACAAAGACGGGGCAGCAAUACCAGACUCCACAUAAAGCAAUUAAUCUCUGGAUUUUGGUAUUCUGUAAACCUUCUUCUACCUGGAACUGAAACUAAGUAUGUUAAACAAAACUGGAAGCCACCAGAUAUCACUGACCGUGCUUUUCCUGGCUCAUCUUUAACAAUCCCAAAGAACACCUGGUGCUGGGAGAGAUUUCUCCUCCUUCCAGCUGAUCAGGAAUAAGAGACAGAUCUCCAUGCCAGCUCCUCCAGUACUUCCUUAAGCAGGAUGCUGUUGCUUGAACAUCUGUGCCAUCCUUUCUGAAUGUUCCUUGGAGCCCUCCUGGGGAUAGAUGCUGCAACACAGUGGAAGCUUUCACAUCCAGUACAGGUGCAUGAGCCUUUCGAGAUGCUCAAAUUUUAAAUACAACUCUAUCAAAUCUCUAUUUUAUGAGCAUAAAGCAUCCUCUGACUUGUUUAAAUAAUAAUUAAAGAAAGCUGGGUUGAGCCUUCAAUUUGUAAAGCUGUGAUGUACAGAAAAGGUCCCCAUCUAGCAUAGUCUCUGGCUGACAGAACUGGCAGCAUUUAAUAGGACGGAAGAUGCCCUGUAUGCAACAUAGACUUCUUCACUGGCUAAACCUAAAACUGUAUACACAAUGUACAGUCACUCACAGGGGUAGUGUGGUUGUGGGCUCUUCGGACACUCACUGUUGACACUCAGCAAUGUGGGGAAACCCUACAAUAUCCUUAGGCUUAGGAGCCCUGAUAUCUAGGCCAUCCUCAUUUGUGUCUUUGACCCUGUCCCUGCAGCUGGUUAGAGUGAAGUGAUUGGUUUAGCACUUGAUAAGACUCCAAAUGUAUCCCGGAGUUGGAACUUUUGUUUGUGUCCAGUGCUGGGGUUUCCGAGCAGGAGGUUGGAGUGGUGGUUGUGAGAGCGGGAGUCCACGCAGCAUGUCCUUCAUCAUCCAUAAUGUCAACUGUGAAUAAAAGGGGGGAGUCUCAUUAGUGUGACAGGGGCUGUGUAUGGAUCUCUGAAGACAGGUGCUGGUUCUGUUCUUCCCAUGAGCUUGGAAAACAAGCCCCCGUCUUCACUCAAGAGGUCGAUUCGAACAGAUGAGGCCUCAUCUAUGUGCAAGCUGUACCGCCUUAAUUAUGCCAGUAUAGUUAAAGCAGUACAACCAGCCUACUGCAGAUGCAGUUCUACUGCUGUAGCUUGUUCCCACAGGAGAAAGGGGAAAUGUUGUACCAGUAUAAGGUACCAUGUACUCACCUUACUAUAUCCACAUUAGGGCUUGUAUUGGUAUAAAUAGAGAGGUUAAAAAAAAUCACUCCCCUUCCCAAAAUAGUUAUACUGUAGCGUAGACCAGAUCUGUCUUAGCCAAGUUCAGUGGUAAUUUACUGCUGUGUAACCCACACCAUAGAUAAGUACAUGAACAAUGGGCAGUAGGAAAAAACAAGGGAGGAGGCAGUGUAGGUGCACUUAGCCCUGCUGCAACACAACUAGAUUUACCCCAUUGGCACAUUUGACAUUCUCUCUGAAACCAGCUCAUUAUCUGCAUCACAAGACACCCAAGAAAGAUGCUUGACUAUUGCUUGAGGUUCUUCCAUGGCUGUUCAGAUUAGAGUCACAAGCCUCACGCUUGUCUUUAGAGGACCCUAAUCUGUGUCUUAAAUUGCUCAAAGACUAAAAAUUAAGUUUUACUAGGUGACAUGGAGUACUGCGAAAAUUACACUAAAAUUAGGAAGAAAAGGACAUCAGCAAUUCUGCUACUAAAGAUGAUGAAAUAGAACCCAGCUACCUCUCUUGGCACUGCAGGGGUCAAAGGAGUAAAAGGCAACAUAAAUUUAUUUUAAGCAAGUGGCACCAGCAGUGUUGAUACUGAAUUCCCUGUUGAGUAGGGAAAUACUAUUCUUACAUCACUACAUGACCUUCCAUUUCUAACUGCUCUAAUGGGAAACAUGUUAAUGCCAUUAUAAGUAAGUCUUGCAAUCAGUCUUUGAGUCUUUAACCAUGUAAAACAGCUGCUAUUAAAUGGCAUGAAGUUGGUGUUAGACUUCCAGCCCAGCACAUGAAAGGUAUGAGCUUGCCUAUUAAAUGCUUAGAUUCUACAGUGUUCUAUGUCCGCCCAUAGAAACAACACAUCUGCUGCAGUCAAGAUUGCAUUACAUCAGUCCCCAAAAAGGGCCAUUCUUAAUUGUGCUAUUUCAUGAUGAUUCUCCCAGUGCACUUAGUUUAUGGGAAAGAAAAAUCUCCUCUUUUUUUAAAUGUGCUUAAUUAAUUUUGGCCCCAGUCAAAACCCAGGAAGAGUUUAUCCUUUGCUCCAAGCUAUGGUUCUGUGACUGGCGGCCAGUGAUUAAAAACAGCCUGAGCAGGGGGGACAGGGGCUGGUUGUCCAGUAUUAAGACUUGCUGGGGUGGGAAGGAGAAUG